This 1021-nucleotide long non-coding RNA is filed under the name Homo sapiens (human). Its description in RNAcentral is "HSALNT0346114". Lineage: Eukaryota; Metazoa; Chordata; Mammalia; Primates; Hominidae. The record is from RNAcentral.
UGUGGUGCCAGGCUGGAAUGGUCUGCUUGGGGACCUAGCCAGCUCCCACGGCCUUUCUGCUGCUUCCUCUACCCCCGUAUUUUGCUCAGCUCUCGAAAUUGACUCAGCAGCAUUAUUCACAAUAACCAAGAGAUGGAAGCAAUACAAAUGUCUAUCAACAGAUGAACAGACCAAGAAAAUGUGAUACACUCACACGACGGGACACCAUUCUGUCUUAAAAAGGAAGAAUAUAUGCUCCAUGAGAGAAAGGACAGAAGCCUCACCUCGCAGGUGUCCCAGGACCAAUAAUGGCAGAACACUGAAACCCUCUACAUCUUGCAAGAUUUCUUCACUUUCUGAGCCUCUGAUUUCUCAUCUAUAGGACAAGUAUAAUUAUACACAGUGGCGUGCUGGCCUCAUGUGGAACCAAAAAAGGAUGUAAAGGAGCUGGCAGUUCUGUGGCCUGGAUAGUUAAAGACAGAUACUUUCCCAAGUCUUGAAAAAACAAAGCCUUAAGUUGAUGGGAACCGAAAUAUCUCAAACUAAGUCAGCCUGGUAGAGCCACUUGAUCCAGCCAGCUGAAAUGCAGAUGGAGGACUCUGAAGACUGAAACUUGUAAUUUGGACCUAGGUUUGCUACUCUGGUUAAUAUCAGAACAUACUGAAGCCAAGAAUCCUUGGUUUGGUGUCUAAUUCUGGGUUUAGCAUUCAAUUUCUUCAAAGAGGAGGACAGUAGAAGAGACAAGUUUCCUUUUGAGUGCAAGAAAACCAAAUUUAGCAAAUAAUCUCCCCAAUAAGUAAGAAAAUUUGAGACCACCUACUACAACAGACCCUCGAACAAUACAGGGGUUAGGAGCACUAGCCUCCCAUGCAGUCAAAACUCUUUGUAUAACUAUUGACUCCCCAAAAACUUAACUACUAGUAGCCUAGUGUAGACUGGAAACCUAACCAAUAACAUAAACAAUCAUUGACACAUAUUUGAUAUGUUAUAUGUGUUAUAUACUGCAUUCUUACAAGGAAGCUGGGGAAAAGCCCAAAAUCUC